GAGCGAGGCCCCGCCGGCCGGGCUUGACGUCAGGCUGGCAGGGCCUGGAACGGCCCCGCAUCGCGGCCCCCUGGGGGCAGGACGACACCGCUGGGGGCCGAGGGCAGGGCACGCCUUCGGAAUCCGGCUUCGAAGCCGGCCGCCUGACCUGGGGCAAGUGCUUUCAACUCUCUGAACUUCGGUUCCUCAUCUGCCAGUUGGCAGACGCUCAGCAAAUCUUCCUAGACUCACGGGGCGAAUUGUACAGUUGGGUAAAUCGAGGCCCAGAGAUGGCAAAAGGACCGUCCAAGGUCGUACAGCCACCCGGAAUUACAAUUCUUUUCUGCCGGGUCACACGCUGUCAUCCACGUGUUACCUAAGAGAGCUUUCCAGCCUGUGCUAAGAAAACUGCCCCACAUCAUCUGCAGUAGGACGGGGGAGUUGGAGCCCUGGUCAGGCCACUCUGCUACUGACCACAGUUUUCUCAUCUCUAAAAAGGCGCAGUAACAAUAUAAUUACCGUAUGCAGUCCCCCAGGAUACAGGGUCAAAGGAGAGCACAACCAUCGCAGUUGGAAGCCCAUGGGGCAGCAGGGCCCAGGACACAGUGAGCAUACAAUAGACAUUAGCUGCUGUGGUGUCUUGAUUUCAAGCCCAGUGCAGAUGCAUCUGACUUACGAAACUUCAGUGACACCUGCUCUGUGCCAGACACUGAAGAUGGAGCAGUGAACAGCACUGACCCAGCCUGUCCUCCUGUUGCCUGCAGGCCAGAAGCAAGGUCUCGCUGUGUUACCCUGGCUGGAGUGCAGUGGCUACUUACAGGCAUGAUCAUAGCAUACUGCAGCCUCGAACUCCUGGACUAGAGCAGUUCUCCUGCCUCAGCCUCCAGAGCAGCUGGGACUGCAGACACGCACCACAGAGCCCAGCCUGAGUCAUUUUGAUUCUGUAACUGGCUUCCUCUCGGCGGGCAGGCUCACACCCUCCACCCCCAGCUGGAGAUGGAAGGAGGAUGCUCACCGCCCAUUCCUCAUGCAGGCCAUCGAUGGAAAUGUCAGACAGUGCGAGUCCACGCCUGAACACUUCUGGGGUCCGCUCUGGGACUGACACUGGCAGAUCCAUCGUGGCACCCGAGCUCUGUGAGGGCAAGACUUUGUUCGGUUGUGGGCUAUGCCCCCAACCCCUCGGACAGUGCCUGCACAGGUGGACAUUUUUGUUGGAUGAAGGAUUUUCUGUUAAAUGUGUCUGGCACACACAGAAAAACAAAGCCCAGCAGGUACGAUGGUGAUUAUUAUUGUUACUGGUGGCGCUCUAUUAUUGUUAUUAGUGUCUGUUGAAAAAGACCCUGAGCUAUACCA
Molecule: long non-coding RNA, 1332 nt
Filed under: Homo sapiens (human)
Lineage: Eukaryota; Metazoa; Chordata; Mammalia; Primates; Hominidae
Description: long intergenic non-protein coding RNA 963
Source: RNAcentral